Molecule: long non-coding RNA, 3051 nt
Organism: Mauremys reevesii (Reeves's turtle)
Lineage: Eukaryota; Metazoa; Chordata; Testudines; Geoemydidae
Exons: 3
Source: RefSeq, a predicted model, not a curated record
GGUUGUAAUAACUUUGUACACAGUUUUUGUCCUGUUGCCUUGCACUAUUUUUGCUUUUACAAGUCUUACGUUAUUAAGGUUACAGUAUGGCCUGACUUUUGCUAACUAACAUGAUCUGCUCUCUCCAAGGCAGAGAGGCCACCUGGAGGCAGUUUCCUCAGCUAGCCAAAAGCUUGUAGAAUUGGCUGCAGUUGCUCAUUUAUAAAUUGUAACCAUUGAUGAUUCAAAGCCCCCUGAAUGCUUGGGAGCUGGCUUUGCCUUGGCUGGAAAGACCAGUCUGUUCUGAGAUGGAAAUGGGAUUUGAAGCAGUUUGUUUCAGGUGAUUUAUAAGUUAGCUGACUGAGCUCAGUACAGGGAAGCUAAGGAGAAGCCUUGGCACUGGUGGUAUGUUUGGUCUCAGUAUAGUUCUCCAACUGCCUUCCCUAAUGCCCUUACACAAUGUACUAUCCUGAUUUGGAAGGCAAAUCUAGCCAUGUUUCUGGAGCUCUCUGAGGGAUUAGAUGCUCCUUUCUAUUUACUUUCUUCUGGCAAGUAUCCAAGAGAAUUUGCCUUCCUCUCGAAGGCUGGUCCAAGGACUGUACCUUGGUCCUGGAUCCGUAGAUUCUAAGGCCGGAAGGGACCAUUGUGAUCAUCUCGUGUGACCUCCUGUAUAACACAAGCUGCAGAACUGACAGCACCAGGCAUUUUCACCAGGACUCUGUACCGAUUGCAGUUACAGGCACUGCCUUCUGGGCCCUAAGCGUUGUCUUUCAUGUUGCUCCAGUGGCAGGUGUUUUGGUACUGUAGUUUGAUUUGCCCUUAAGGGCUAUGUGCUUCAGCUGGUCCAUGUCUAGUGGUUUGCCAGGCUCAGAAAUCAGUUUCUCGAGGAUCUCAGCGCAGAACUCUGCUGUGAAUAUUGCAUCAGUGCAGAGCACUCACAACAAAGGCAUGGACUUGGCCAUGCUUGGGCUCCACUCCUGACUCCUGUUGCACAAACUAGCCUUGCCUGAAAGGCAGUUAAAUGUGGACCAUGCGGCUAUUAAUCUGGAAGGGUGGCCUGGAGAGAAUGCAGUUCCCAACAUAUGGCGCCUUUCCACACUGCGUACUGGGACGUGGAAUCUCUCUGUAUUCUUAUCUGGGCCCCCAUCAUCACAAUGCCUGAGAGCAUCACAAACAGAAACAGAUUUAUACUGCCAACACCCUGUGAAGUCAGAAAGUAUCCCCAUUGUACAGAUGAGGAACUGAGGCACAUAGAGGCUGAAUGACCAGUCCACACUGGGAAGCUGUAAUAGUGCCUUAUCCACAAGCCCAUGACUUUGCAGGCUACACUUCCAUUUUCAGUAUAAAGGCAGCUGCAAUGUACCCGUUUAUACGCAGUGGGUGUAUGGCAAGCUGUCAAGAAGCUUCUUGGUUAGACAGAGUUUGGGCACCCAUGGGAUAAUCUGUUUGAUGUUGGUCUUGUGGCCUGGCUGUGGCUGUGUACAGUUGUUCCCAAUGGUCUCUGCAUCACCCUCUCCAGGUCUUGUGUAUCUGCUGGGUACCAUGUCCUCUCUCAGUGCCUUCUACCCCAGCAUGUCACUGUUGUGUUCAUGUGAUGGUUGAUCACCCCCACCUGGCCUGUACCCAGAGCUGUCCCCUAGUGCCUUAGUCUCCCUACCUUUUGUACAGGGACUGGUUUGUUUAUGUGGGUGAACUCCACAUUCUCUUGUAUUGUCUGGUGAGUUACAAUAAAAUAUCAGUGGACAGGGAAAAUUAGAGUGAGAGACUGCAGAGGAAAUCCGAUCUCCCUGCCAGGACUGCGUGGAUGGGGUUGAGGACUGCUGGCCCCUAAGAGGGACACCCUGCAUUGGCUUACCAGGAAACUGAGGCUCUCAGGACAAGAGCUUCAUUCAUGGGGCCACAUUCUCUGUUGCAGAAGUCCACCGAAGUCAUAAGAAUUAUGUCAGGUGAGAAUUUGGCCCAUGGUCUGUGAAACCACAGGAGAGGAUCAGGGAGCAUUUCCCUAGGGUGGAGUUCUUCUGGUGUGAUGAGAGCUGUUCUUUGCUGGGCUUUGAGUUGGGUAGGGUUGUCCCCUUGCUAAGUUUGGUGGGAUCACACUGGAUGUGCCAGGUGAUCUCUCCAGAACAGUUUUAGGGUAUGUCUACUCAGCAACUAGACACCCAUAGCUGGCGCAUGCCAGCCGACUCGGGCUGGGACUGUUUCGUUUCCAUUUAGACAUCUGGGCUUGGGCUGGAGCCCAGGCUCUAGGGCUCUGCAAGAUGAGAGGGUUAUGGGUCAGCCAUGGGUUUUUCUUUGUUGUGUAGACAUACCCUUAGGCUGCAUCAGGUGAUGAAGCCAGUAAACAAGAUUGUUCUGCAAAACACUUUCAGAGGCUCAUGGUAUGAAUUCCUACUUCUCUAGGAUAGGCUCUGGGGAGGAGUGGGGUGAGACCACCUGGUGCAGCCUGCCCCUCAUCCCCUGGCUCUGCUCUGCUCCAUCAUGCCCAGAGCCAGCCUGCCCUUCAUGCAGCUUUACCCUCUGCCUUAGGGUGUGGUCUGAUUUCAGUGUGCAUGCAGGAGAAAACUUCAAUUGAAGCAAGAGCAAAUAUGCCAGGAGAGAAGCACAUAGCCUGAGCCCGUGCUCUGAAGCCUCUGUGUUUGCGAGGGGAAGGUCUCCCCUCCACCAGGGGUACUCACAUCUCUGUAGCAAUGCAUACAGCCAUAGUGCCACAGGUGCCCAACUCUGGGCAGUCUCUGUUUCAGUGUCUCUAUCUGAGGCCCCUGUGUGGGGAAGAGUUCCUGCAUGCCUCAGGAGAUCCGAGUGCCACAUCCUGCCCUUCCCUGCUGGCUGUGUGGCAUAUACGCCACACUGGCUCCAGACGCCUUUCACAUUACUUGCCCUUAGGGCCCUGGGUGCUCUCAGAUCAGUGCCUUCCCCCACCUAUGGACUAGGUGGGCUCUGCUAAGGCAAGCUGUGUUGGUUGCUGUGAAAUCCCAGGCUUCUGCCCUGUGGUGGAGGGACACGGACUCCUGCUCCAUUGCACAUAUGCUGCUGGGAGCCCAGUAUUGUCCCUGAAUCUCCCUGUGAUCUCUG